RNAcentral lists this non-coding RNA (21 nucleotides) under Caenorhabditis elegans. Lineage: Eukaryota; Metazoa; Nematoda; Chromadorea; Rhabditida; Rhabditidae. The record is from RNAcentral.
UCGAAUAAUUGUGAGUUCGAC